Molecule: small RNA, 21 nt
Filed under: Arabidopsis thaliana (thale cress)
Lineage: Eukaryota; Viridiplantae; Streptophyta; Magnoliopsida; Brassicales; Brassicaceae
Description: ATSL022460
Source: RNAcentral
AACGGGCUUUGCAGAAAGCAA